UCCCUGGUGGCUCAGUGGUAAGGAAUCUGCCUGCCAAUGCAGGAGACACAGGUUUGAUCCCUGUUCCAGGAA
Bos taurus (domestic cattle) is the source of this 72-nucleotide non-coding RNA. The record is from Rfam. Lineage: Eukaryota; Metazoa; Chordata; Mammalia; Artiodactyla; Bovidae.